This 812-nucleotide ribosomal RNA is filed under the name uncultured bacterium. RNAcentral's name for it is "bacterial SSU rRNA". It matches the Rfam family "Bacterial small subunit ribosomal RNA", at positions 29 to 836 of the family's 1533-position model. The record is from RNAcentral.
UUGAACGCUGGCGGCAUGCCUUACACAUGCAAGUCGAACGGCAGCACGGGAGCAAUCCUGGUGGCGAGUGGCGAACGGGUGAGUAAUGUAUCGGAACGUACCUUUCAGUGGGGGAUAACGUAGCGAAAGUUACGCUAAUACCGCAUAUUCUGUGAGCAGGAAAGCAGGGGAUCGCAAGACCUUGCGCUGAUUGAGCGGCCGAUAUCGGAUUAGCUAGUUGGUGAGGUAAGAGCUCACCAAGGCGACGAUCCGUAGCUGGUCUGAGAGGACGACCAGCCACACUGGAACUGAGACACGGUCCAGACUCCUACGGGAGGCAGCAGUGGGGAAUUUUGGACAAUGGGCGCAAGCCUGAUCCAGCCAUUCCGCGUGAGUGAAGAAGGCCUUCGGGUUGUAAAGCUCUUUCGCAAGGGAAGAAAACUUAGCCACUAACAUUGGCUGAGGUUGACGGUACCUUGAUAAGAAGCACCGGCUAACUACGUGCCAGCAGCCGCGGUAAUACGUAGGGUGCGAGCGUUAAUCGGAAUUACUGGGCGUAAAGCGUGCGCAGGCGGUUUCGUAAGUCAGAUGUGAAAGCCCCGGGCUCAACCUGGGAACUGCGUUUGAAACUGCGAGGCUAGAGUGCGUCAGAGGGGGGUAGAAUUCCACGUGUAGCAGUGAAAUGCGUAGAGAUGUGGAGGAACACCGAUGGCGAAGGCAGCCCCCUGGGAUAACACUGACGCUCAUGCACGAAAGCGUGGGGAGCAAACAGGAUUAGAUACCCUGGUAGUCCACGCCCUAAACGAUGUCUACUAGUUGUUGGUGGAGUGAAA